This 484-nucleotide ribosomal RNA is filed under the name uncultured bacterium. RNAcentral's name for it is "partial 16S ribosomal RNA". It matches the Rfam family "Bacterial small subunit ribosomal RNA", at positions 30 to 507 of the family's 1533-position model. The record is from RNAcentral.
AUUGAACGCUCGCGGGAUGCUUUACACAUGCAAGUCGAACGGCAGCGCGGACUUCGGUCUGGCUGCGAGUGGCGAACGGGUGUGUAAUGUAUCGGAACGUGCCCAGUUGCGGGGGAUAACUACUCGAAAGCGUUGCUAAUACCGCAUACGCCCUACGGGUGCAAGCAGGGGAUCGUAAGACCUUUCACUAUUGUAUCGGCCGAUAUCGGAUUAGCUAGUUGGUUAGGUAACGGCUCACCAAGGCGACGAUCCGUAGCUGGUGUGAGAGGAAGACCAGCCACACGGGAAGUGAGACACGGCCCAGACUCCUACGGGAGGGAGCAGUGGGGAAUGUUGGACAAUGGGGGCAAACAUGAUACAGCCAGCCCGCGUGUGCGAUGAAGGCCUUCGGGUUGUAAAGAACUUUUGGCAGGAAAGAAACGUCGCGGGCUAAUACCCAGUGGAACUGACGGUACCUGCAGAAUAAGCACCGGCUAACUACGUG